Molecule: non-coding RNA, 47 nt
Organism: Merops nubicus (carmine bee-eater)
Lineage: Eukaryota; Metazoa; Chordata; Aves; Coraciiformes; Meropidae
Source: Rfam
UUACAGGUUUCUUUAGAAACCAAAGAAGUUUAUAUUUUAUGUAAAAU